CGGGCCGUAAAAAGCCCUAAGAA
RNAcentral lists this transfer RNA (23 nucleotides) under Craugastor sp. SBH-2008. Its description in RNAcentral is "partial tRNA-Phe". The record is from RNAcentral. Lineage: Eukaryota; Metazoa; Chordata; Amphibia; Anura; Craugastoridae.